RNAcentral lists this ribosomal RNA (969 nucleotides) under uncultured organism. RNAcentral describes it as "bacterial SSU rRNA". It matches the Rfam family "Bacterial small subunit ribosomal RNA", at positions 55 to 1010 of the family's 1533-position model. The record is from RNAcentral.
AUGCAAGUCGAGCGAGAAAGUACCCUUCGGGGUGCGAGUACAGCGGCGAACGGGUGAGUAACACGUAAGCAAUCUGCCCCCAAAUCUGGGAUAACUCUGCCAACGCGGGGCUAAUACCGGAUGUGGUCACGACAUCGCAUGGUGUUGUGAUUAAAGAUGGCUUCGGCUAUCGUUUGGGGAUGAGCUUGCGGCCCAUUAGCUUGUUGGUGGGGUAAUGGCCCACCAAGGCGACGAUGGGUAGCCGACCUGAGAGGGUGAUCGGCCACAUUGGGACUGAGAUACGGCCCAGACUCCUACGGGAGGCAGCAGUGGGGAAUUUUGGCGCCAUUGGGCCGAAAGUCUGACCCAGCGACGCCGCGUGAGGGAUGACGGCUUACGGGUUGUAAACCUCUGUUGAGUGGGACGAAAACUCGUAGGGUUAAUACCCCUGCGACCUGACGGUACCACUCGAGGAAGCUCCGGCUAACUACGUGCCAGCAGCCGCGGUAAUACGUAGGGAGCAAGCGUUGUUCGGAAUCACUGGGCGUAAAGGGAGUGUAGGCGGAAAAGUAAGUUAGGAGUGAAAUACACAGGCUUAACCUGUGGCCCGCUCUUAAUACUGCUUUACUUGAGUAUGGGAGAGGAAGAUGGAAUUCCAGGUGUAGCGGUGGAAUGCGUAGAUAUCUGGAAGAACACCAGUAGCGAAAGCGGUCUUCUGGCCCAAACUGACGCUGAGGCUCGAAAGCUAGGGGAGCAAACAGGAUUAGAUACCCUGGUAGUCCUAGCCGUAAACGAUGGACACUAGUUGUCGGGGGAGUCAAUCCCUUCGGUGACGAAGCUAACGCAUUAAGUGUCCCGCCUGGGGAGUACGCUCGCAAGGGUGAAACUCAAAGGAAUUGACGGGGCCCGCACAACGUGGAGCAUGUGCUUAAUUCGAUGCACGCGAAGACUUACUGGGUUUGACAUGGGGGUGAAGUAACCAGAGAUGGA